UACGAAGGGGGCUAGCGUUGCUCGGAAUUACUGGGCGUAAAGCGCACGUAGGCGGCUUCUUAAGUCGGUGGUGAAAUCCUGGAGCUCAACUCCAGAACUGCCUUCGAUACUGGGAGCUCGAGUCCGGGAGAGGUGAGUGGAACUGCGAGUGUAGAGGUGAAAUUCGUAGAUAUUCGCAAGAACACCAGUGGCGAAGGCGGCUCACUGGCCCGGUACUCGACGCUGAGGUGCGAAAGCGUGGGGAGCAACAGGG
RNAcentral lists this ribosomal RNA (253 nucleotides) under uncultured bacterium. RNAcentral describes it as "partial 16S ribosomal RNA". It matches the Rfam family "Bacterial small subunit ribosomal RNA", at positions 524 to 776 of the family's 1533-position model. The record is from RNAcentral.